CACAGCAAAGCCCUUGUGGGGCAACGCAAAGUGGUAGAUGUUGCAGCAUCAUUCGGGCAAAGCGUGGCGCAUCGGCAAAGCCGCA
This 85-nucleotide non-coding RNA is filed under the name Diacronema lutheri. Lineage: Eukaryota; Haptophyta; Pavlovophyceae; Pavlovales; Pavlovaceae. The record is from RNAcentral.